AUGGCUAACCCUGGUGCACUUUGUUGUUCCAUUACCUUGCAAGCAUUUACUUUCUUAUCUUUGCUUGCAGCUGUGGUAGCAGAUCUCCAGGGAGGUGACGGGUGCCCACAUUUCUCGUGUGGACGUCUCCGAAACAUAUCUUAUCCAUUCCGCCGUCGAGGUGAUCCACCUGGAUGCGGUUCUAAGUACUAUGAACUGGAGUGCAGCGAUAGCCAUGCAAAAAUCCGCAUUGGCAAUGCGGAGUACUAUGUGGUUGGCAUCAACUAUAAUGAUUCAUCCUUCUGGGCCAUCGACACUAUCUUUGAUACGAAAAGAGGCUGCCUUCUUCCUUGCUACUCUUACCCGGAGGGGAUGGUUGAUUCACAUGGCCUCGACAUUUUGGAGGUUGAAUUAUUCCCUUGGGCAUGCUUUGUUAAUUGUUCGCGAGCCAUAACGAAAAAUAGUUGGUACAAGCCUGUUGCCUGCCUGAGUGCAAACAAUUCAUUUGUUUAUGUCUGGGCUGGUUAUUGUGACAUCUUACAUCUUGAGCAUUCCUGUGGAUACUUAGCCAUGACACCUUUUGAUGGUUCCUCAAUCCUAGACAAACAGCUACAGAAUGUGUCAAUCCGAGACAAACAGCUACAGAAUGUAAGUUACGCAGAUAUCAUGCACUUGACAAGGAAGGGAUUUCCUGUUAGCUUUCCUGUUGAUGGUAGACUCGACAGGCUUUCGAAGAUCAUCAAAGAAUGCCUGCACAAUUCAACAAGCGAUUUCAGGAAGCAAGUAUCUCCUGCAAACAUGAUGAGUCAGAUUCGUGCUUUCUUCUGGAGUGAGUUACAGUUCUUAAAAUGCUUAAAAGGUUCUCAUGCACUAUCAACAACGCAUAUCAUGUAUGUGGAGGUUAGAGCCAUAAUAUCCGCUAUUGAUAUCCCCAAAUUCCUUGUUGUACUAUGCAGGUUUGUGCUGGCGCCCCUGGCUGUAUUGAUCUUCCUUGCAUACACGUAUUGGAAAACAAGGAUUACAAUUGAUGCAGUUGAGAAGUUUCUUCGGAUGCAACAAAUGAUCGGGCCGAUGAGAUACGUCUACACCGACAUCAUUGCAAUCACAGGCCACUUCAGAAACAAGCUAGGCCAAGGUGGCUAUGGCUCUGUGUUCAAGGGCGUGCUACUGCCAGGCAAUGUUCAUGUUGCCAUCAAGAUGCUAGAGGGCAGCUCCAACUGCAAUGGAGAAGACUUCAUCAGUGAAGUCUCCACCAUCGGCAGGAUCCACCACAUCAAUGUGGUCCGUCUUGUGGGGUUCUGCUCAGAUGAAAUGAGAAGGGCGCUCGUCUACGAGUACAUGCCUCGAGGUUCUCUUGACAAGUACAUCUUCUCGGCCGAGAAGAGUUUUUCUUGGGACAAGCUCAAUGAGAUUGCUUUGGGCAUUGCCCGAGGGAUUGAUUACUUGCAUCGAGGUUGUGAUAUGCAGAUUCUCCACUUUGACAUCAAGCCGCACAACAUCCUUCUAGACAGCAAUUUUGUCCCAAAAGUUGCUGAUUUCGGUCUCGCCAAACUGUACCCAAGGGACAAGAGUUUUGUGCCAUCGAGAGCUCUACGGGGAACUGUUGGAUACAUAGCUCCUGAGAUGAUAUCUCGGAGUUUUGGGGUCAUAUCGAGCAAGUCUGAUGUUUACAGCUUUGGGAUGCUGCUGUUGGAGAUGGCUGGAGGAAGAAGGAACGCCGAUCCGAAUGCAGCGAACUCGAGCCAAGCAUACUACCCGUCAUGGGUGUAUGAUAGACUAACUGAACAAGAAGUGUGUGAGAUAUCUCCCGUUGCUGACAUGCAUGAGUUGGAGAGGAAGCUGUGUAUCGUUGGACUAUGGUGCAUCCAGAUGAAGUCUAAUGACAGGCCGACGAUGAGCGAGGUCAUAGAGAUGCUGGAAGGUGGCUUCGAUGGCCUGCAGAUGCCUUCCAGGCCAUUCUUCUGCGACGAUGAGCACACCGCUGUUCCGGAUUCUUACCCUUUGUUAUCCGAGCUGACCGAGAUCUCGGAGGAGGAUGAGAUCUCAGAUUCUUAUGUUUCCCGGGUCCUAUGA
This 2052-nucleotide ribosomal RNA is filed under the name Triticum aestivum (bread wheat). Its description in RNAcentral is "partial small subunit ribosomal RNA". Lineage: Eukaryota; Viridiplantae; Streptophyta; Magnoliopsida; Poales; Poaceae. The record is from RNAcentral.